RNAcentral lists this ribosomal RNA (253 nucleotides) under uncultured bacterium. Its description in RNAcentral is "partial 16S ribosomal RNA". It matches the Rfam family "Bacterial small subunit ribosomal RNA", at positions 524 to 776 of the family's 1533-position model. The record is from RNAcentral.
UACGAAGGGGGCUAGCGUUGCUCGGAUUGACUGGGCGUAAAGGGCGCGUAGGCGGUUCGUUCAGUCAGACGUGAAAUUCCUGGGCUCAACCUGGGGGCUGCGUUUGAUACGUGCGGACUUGAGUGCGGAAGAGGGUCGUGGAAUUCCCAGUGUAGAGGUGAAAUUCGUAGAUAUUGGGAAGAACACCGGUGGCGAAGGCAGUGUCCUGGGUGGUCGCUGACGCUGAGAGGCGAAAGCCAGGGGAGCGAACGGG